AUGAAUCUCUUGGCAUGAAACUGUUGAGGCUUGGGGUUGGACUCGACAGUUGGCGAAUUACGAGACCUGAUACGGUCCCACAACCCACCAAUGGUUUUCUUAAGUGAAACAAAGAAGAAAUCAAGAGCAAUAGAUAGACUCAAUUGGAGUUUGGGGUUUACUAAAGGAGUGGCAGUCGACUGUGUAGGACGGAGUGGUGGCCUAGCACUCUAG
This 213-nucleotide ribosomal RNA is filed under the name Triticum aestivum (bread wheat). RNAcentral's name for it is "partial small subunit ribosomal RNA". Lineage: Eukaryota; Viridiplantae; Streptophyta; Magnoliopsida; Poales; Poaceae. The record is from RNAcentral.